CCCCUCGAAGAUGAAGAAUUGGUCACCUACAUGUUGUGUGGCCUUGGCAGCGAGUACACGCCCUGGUGACGAGCAUCACUACACGUGCAGACUCGUACACUGUUAGUGAUGUCUAUGCACACAUGUAAUGUUUUGAGA
This is a small nucleolar RNA of Phragmites australis (common reed), 138 nucleotides long. RefSeq annotates it as small nucleolar RNA Z247. The transcript has a single exon. The record is from RefSeq and is a predicted model, not a curated record. Lineage: Eukaryota; Viridiplantae; Streptophyta; Magnoliopsida; Poales; Poaceae.